AAUGAACGCUGGCGGCAGGCCUAACACAUGCAAGUCGAACGGGUCCUUCGGGACUAGUGGCGGACGGGUGAGUAACGCGUGGGAACGUGCCCUUUGCUACGGAAUAGCCCCGGGAAACUGGGAGUAAUACCGUAUAAGCCCUACGGGGGAAAGAUUUAUCGGCAAAGGAUCGGCCCGCGUUGGAUUAGGUAGUUGGUGGGGUAAUGGCCUACCAAGCCGACGAUCCAUAGCUGGUUUGAGAGGAUGAUCAGCCACACUGGGACUGAGACACGGCCCAGACUCCUACGGGAGGCAGCAGUGGGGAAUCUUAGACAAUGGGGGAAACCUUGAUCUAGCCAUGCCGCGUGAUCGAUGAAGGCCUUAGGGUUGUAAAGAUCUUUCAGCUGGGAAGAUAAUGACGGUACCAGCAGAAGAAGCCCCGGCUAACUCCGUGCCAGCAGCCGCAGUAA
This 449-nucleotide ribosomal RNA is filed under the name uncultured bacterium. RNAcentral describes it as "partial 16S ribosomal RNA". It matches the Rfam family "Bacterial small subunit ribosomal RNA", at positions 29 to 523 of the family's 1533-position model. The record is from RNAcentral.